Molecule: long non-coding RNA, 660 nt
Organism: Mauremys reevesii (Reeves's turtle)
Lineage: Eukaryota; Metazoa; Chordata; Testudines; Geoemydidae
Exons: 3
Source: RefSeq, a predicted model, not a curated record
UCAGAGGGUAAGCUGAAUAGAGGAGAGAAGCCGUGUGAAAGGCCAGGGGUGGGACUGUACAUUUGUACCUGUGGUACAUCCUGCCCUGUGUGGAAACAGGCAUUAAAGUAGAUCUGCUUCCUAAAGGAGCUACAGAUGCCAUCAACAGUUAGAGAUGAAAUGCGGAAUCCUGAGCUCACAUCUUGAUAUACUAACACGGGUACCACUCUGAAACCUGCGAGGGACAGAGCAGCCGACUGGGGAUGCCUCAGGAUAAGAGCCAGGAGGAGCACUGUGCCCAGCAGGAAUCACUGGAGAAGGACAAACCAAAGCUGGGCCCUGUACCACUGUUGCCCUGAGCUGCAUGGGGCUGUGAGCACUGGGGCUUGUGACUUUGUAUUGGGAAUAAGGAGGGAGGCUGUCUCUCUGUGUGGGUUUGCCGAGAGCAGCAGAAGAGGGCACCGGAGGUGGUGGUUGUUGAACGUUUACUGGCACCUAAGACUCACUGCCAGAUUGGAACUCUGAGUACAGACUCAUUGCUUGGUGUCUUCCCUUUCACACUGUACUACCACUGGGCCUGUGGGGCCUUGUGUUUAAUGUAACAGUAUUUUACCACUCCCCCUAUCUUGCCUGCUGUUUUUCUUUGUUCAUCUCUGUAAAUAAAUAUUUCCAUUUCCUAUA